Molecule: non-coding RNA, 71 nt
Organism: Tribonema minus
Lineage: Eukaryota; Xanthophyceae; Tribonematales; Tribonemataceae
Source: the annotation of a GenBank genome assembly
UCUGAAUUGGUUCAGUGGCGUACAUUUUAAUAACCGCUGAAACGGCCGGGGUUCGAUUCUCCAAUUCAGAG